CCCUUUGAAUUUAACAUUCAGUAGAAGCUCUGGGAGAGAGGGUUCUUUGGGUUUAAUAGGACUGCAUAAUCUGGGAAACACUUGCUUUAUGAACAGUGCACUUCAGUGCUUGGUGCACACGUCAAAGCUUUUUGAUUACUUCCUUGGAGAUUACAGCAAUGAAAUUAAUCAGCACAAUCCAUUGGGCAUGGAUGGGGACCUUGCUCUUGCAUUUGGACAGCUAGUGAGGAAGUUAUGGGCUCCUGGGAGAACUCCAGUUGCACCACAAGAGUUCCAAGUCAAAACUUUCUCGUUUUGCACCGCAAUUCAGUGGCUACAACCAGCAUGAUUCGCAAGAACUCCUUGCUUUUCUGUUGGAUGGGCUCCAUGAAGAUCUAAAUCGUGUGAAAAGCAAACCUUACAUAGAAGCGAAGAAUGCAGAUGGUCA
This is a non-coding RNA of Amborella trichopoda, 427 nucleotides long. The record is from RefSeq and is a predicted model, not a curated record. NCBI's taxonomy places the organism in Eukaryota, Viridiplantae, Streptophyta, Magnoliopsida, Amborellales, Amborellaceae.